This is a non-coding RNA of Petromyzon marinus (sea lamprey), 1715 nucleotides long. The record is from RefSeq and is a predicted model, not a curated record. NCBI's taxonomy places the organism in Eukaryota, Metazoa, Chordata, Hyperoartia, Petromyzontiformes, Petromyzontidae.
UAUUCUCUGUCUUGGCGCGUGUCACAGCCUCUGCCGCUAUUGGCCAGGGGGGUGCGAGAGAGCCCUUCGCCUACUUCGCCUUCACAAAAAGUGUCCAACUCCACCUUUAAAAGCGCCUCUCGCAUCGCAGGCAGCCGUCAGAGUCCCCCCCCGGGCACCCGAGUCGACGAGACGCGCUGCUGGAGCGACCGCUCCACUGCUGGAUGGGAGCCUCUCCAUCUCUCGUUGCCAUGCUACGCGUCGUGGUCGUCGUCGUGGUCAGCCGUGGUCGAUCCGCUGCUGGAUGGAGACCCUCCCCCUGCACUCUAAUCCUUUAACUUUUGGCGCAAGCGUGGGACAUAAGGAGGAGUUGCAGUCUCUUAUCGGUGGCUCCUGACUUCUGCUCACUGAAGACUCGCGGAGUCUGUGGGCACGUUGUGAUGAGGUUGAGGCCACAGCGAGGUCUGGGGCGGGCUGGGAGAUCCUCCCAGAGGCCUGAGCGGAGCGCAGCGGCGAUGACUCUGGGAGAGAAGGGACGAGGUCAGAAUUCUGUGCUCACCAAGGCGCUCACCGGGACUCACGGAGCGAGGGCCCACGGAGAUUUCUCAGGGAUGUAAAAUCCGCCGGGUGCUGCCAUGCCGGUGACUCCACGUCUCGUCUGACGGCAAGCGAGGCCGAUACCGACCAGGCCACAUAACCGCCAAUGCCACGACCACCACCGUCGACUAACUCGACCCGACUAACGGUGCAGCCUUCGUUGGCAGAGUGGCUUCCAACUCUCCUUACACCAACAACAGAGUAUCGUCAGCGAUUGAUUUCUCCUAUUUUACCAUCGUAAUCAUCUUCAUUUGCCCUUGAUUUCUGGAUCUCCCCCCAUCGCCCUCGCCCCCCAUCGCCCCCCCUAUUUCCCCCCCCCCAUCGCCCCCCCCCAAACAAACACCUCCACCAAACAGUGGAGUGGGGUGGCGGGCGGGGGGGACAAGGACGUACAUUCUGGAGCCCCAGUGGAAAUGUAAGCCCUGAUCAUCGUCACCGCCAUCGCCAUCGAUCAUCAUUUCACUUUUAUUUUCAUUUAAUUUUGUAAACUUUGCAGCUGGCGUCUCUCCCGUAAUGUUAUUUAAUUUAUAACCUCAUGCGGUCGUGCGCGGACUCCGAUCAGACUUGCACGCUGGGCGGACCGCAGCUUUAAGACCUGACGGAGUUGUUUUUGUCGACGGACGAAGGCUUGUGGAUUGUGGCGGGCAAAAAUGGCUCCCCGUUUAUCGAUUGGUGACCAAAAUCCUGAUCGUUCAAUAACGUGCAGGUCACUUAUCGUGGCUGUGAGGCCUCGGGGCUCCAGUCGGUAAGCCAUCGCAGACUACAAACAGCCUUGAAAAAGAAAGAAAAAAACUUAAAUAGCUGACGUUUCAGGCAAUGGCCCUUCUUCAUGGCACGCAACUAGAGACAGGCCAGUUGAGACCGAGCGGGUAAUGAGAGCUGGGAGAUUGCUCGUAAUACCGUGGUGCCUGAUGAUGAAGGUUAAAAAAAAACCGCGUUGUUCCUCCUUAUGACCGGGGUUUUAAAUUGAAACAUGAAUAGUCAUCCUCCUGUGAGUAGCUGUCGAGUUCUGACGGACAAACCCUUCGUUAAUCAAAAAGGCCUCGCUUCACAAAUGGUUGCAUAGGAACGCGUCCAUUGGGGAAGGGCGCUAGGGAAUGGGUGGGGGCGCUGCGCGAUACACCCCCCCCGCCUUGGAA